AUAUUUCUUUUCUUCUUCUUCUCCUCCUCCUUCUUCUUCUUCGUCAUCUUCAUCCUUCUAGAAAGAGAGAGAGACCGACGACUUCCCCUUUCCUUUUUGAAAUCUCUUCCGCCGCCCCAUCCUUCAUUUGCUUCUCCACGCCGACACAACGCCACUAUCGUUGCGCAGCUCUAACCGCCGGAAGACGACCACCCACGCCACGCGCCUUGAACCACGGCGUUUUGAAGCGGCUAGUUCGAAUCGACACAAUCUAUUCGAGUGUCCUCGUUGUGUUUCUUUGUAAUUGAGCUGUGAAGUACCUAUCCAUCGUUCGUUGUCAUUCGGCUAAAUCGAAGUGGGGAAGGCAUAAAAUCCUGGGGGAUCGAGUAAUUGAUUGGCCACCUACGGUUGUCAGGGGAUUCCGUGGUUGAAAGAGGCCGUAACCGGAGAUCCGAGAACCUGAGCCUAGGUGAGGACGUGGAUGGAGGAUUGUGAUAUGGCUUCGGGCCUAGCUUAACCCAUGGUUGGGUGGCUCUAUGUGCAUAUAGGAGCGGUAUGUUGCUACCGUGGUAGGUGCUAAGUAUGCGUGAGCUUCGUUUGGCCGCGUGUUUCCUUGUGGAUUGGAUCACGUGUGAGCUAUCCUUGGGCCAUAUGCUUAGUAUGCUAUCAUGGUUGGAUUGGAUCGGAUUGGAUGGAGGUUGUUAUCGUGGCGGGCACUAAAUAUGCGUGAGCUAGUUUUGGCCGCAUGAUUUUUAGUCAUGUGCGAGCUAUCUUUAGCCGUAUAUUUAGAUGCUUUGCCAUGGUUUAUUGGGUACAGGUUUGUUGGCCUUACUUGUGGUUUAUGGUAACGGUUAAGGACUAAGCAUUGGUUGUGCUUUCCUGGCAGUGGUUAUAGUAUCUCAUUGUGUAGUAUAUACUUAUGCAUUCUAUUGUAUUAUUGGGUUAUUAGAAGAAACGAGAGUCAUGAUGAGAAUUUGAGUCUGAGAGGUCUUUUAUUAAAUUGUAAUUCUUUUGUAACUAGUUCGAAGUUGAAUAUAAACUUUGUUUGGUACUCUGGAUUAUGUUGGAUGAGUGUGUGGUGAGACACACUCGAGGAUAAUUGAGUUUUGAAAAGUAUAGAAGUGUGUCUUUCUUCUA
Long non-coding RNA from Cucumis melo (muskmelon), 1116 nucleotides. RefSeq lists it as uncharacterized. The transcript is spliced from 4 exons. NCBI's taxonomy places the organism in Eukaryota, Viridiplantae, Streptophyta, Magnoliopsida, Cucurbitales, Cucurbitaceae. The record is from RefSeq and is a predicted model, not a curated record.